AGCAUCUUGCAAUGGCAGAAGUCUGAUGGAGCAACGCCGCGUGAGUGAAGAAGGUUUUCGGAUCGUAAAGCUCUGUUGUUGGUGAAGAAGGAUAGAGGUAGUAACUGGCCUUUAUUUGACGGUAAUCAACCAGAAAGUCACGGCUAACUACGUGCCAGCAGCCGCGGUAAUACA
This 174-nucleotide ribosomal RNA is filed under the name uncultured Lactobacillus sp. RNAcentral's name for it is "partial 16S ribosomal RNA". It matches the Rfam family "Bacterial small subunit ribosomal RNA", at positions 359 to 527 of the family's 1533-position model. Lineage: Bacteria; Bacillati; Bacillota; Bacilli; Lactobacillales; Lactobacillaceae. The record is from RNAcentral.